CCUACGGGAGGCAGCAGUGAGGAAUAUUGGUCAAUGGACGAGAGUCUGAACCAGCCAAGUAGCGUGAAGGCUGACUGCCCUAUGGGUUGUAAACUUCUUUUAUAUGGGAAUAAAACGUUCCACGUGUGGGAUUUUGUAUGUACCAUAUGAAUAAGGAUCGGCUAACUCCGUGCCAGCAGCCGCGGUAAUACGGAGGAUCCGAGCGUUAUCCGGAUUUAUUGGGUUUAAAGGGAGCGUAGGUGGAUAGUUAAGUCAGUUGUGAAAGUUUGCGGCUCAACCGUAAAAUUGCAGUUGAAACUGGCAGUCUUGAGUACAGUAGAGGUGGGCGGAAUUCGUGGUGUAGCGGUGAAAUGCUUAGAUAUCACGAAGAACUCCGAUUGCGAAGGCAGUUCACUGGACUGCAACUGACACUGAGGCUCGAAAGUGUGGGUAUCAAACAGGAUUAGAUACCCUUGUAGUC
Molecule: ribosomal RNA, 460 nt
Filed under: uncultured bacterium
Lineage: Bacteria
Description: partial 16S ribosomal RNA
Rfam family: Bacterial small subunit ribosomal RNA
Source: RNAcentral